RNAcentral lists this non-coding RNA (100 nucleotides) under Lysinibacillus macroides. RNAcentral's name for it is "Guanine sequence". It matches the Rfam family "Purine riboswitch aptamer". Rfam says of the family: Riboswitches are metabolite binding domains within certain messenger RNAs that serve as precision sensors for their corresponding targets. Allosteric rearrangement of mRNA structure is mediated by ligand binding, and this results in modulation of gene expression. A class of riboswitches that selectively recognises guanine and becomes saturated at concentrations as low as 5 nM. The record is from RNAcentral. Lineage: Bacteria; Bacillati; Bacillota; Bacilli; Caryophanales; Bacillaceae.
AUGUAAAUUAAAUAAUGUCGUCGUAUAAUAGCGGGAAUAGGCUCGCAAGUUUCUACCAAAUCACCGUAAUGAUUUGACUACGAUGUAAGUAAAUUUGUAU